CGUUAGCGGCGGACGGGUGAGUAACACGUGGAUAACCUACCUAUAAGACUGGGAUAACUUCGGGAAACCGGAGCUAAUACCGGAUAAUAUAUUGAACCGCAUGGUUCAAUAGUGAAAGACGGUUUUGCUGUCACUUAUAGAUGGAUCCGCGCCGCAUUAGCUAGUUGGUAAGGUAACGGCUUACCAAGGCAACGAUGCGUAGCCGACCUGAGAGGGUGAUCGGCCACACUGGAACUGAGACACGGUCCAGACUCCUACGGGAGGCAGGG
RNAcentral lists this ribosomal RNA (269 nucleotides) under uncultured Staphylococcus sp. Its description in RNAcentral is "partial 16S ribosomal RNA". It matches the Rfam family "Bacterial small subunit ribosomal RNA", at positions 90 to 351 of the family's 1533-position model. Lineage: Bacteria; Bacillati; Bacillota; Bacilli; Caryophanales; Staphylococcaceae. The record is from RNAcentral.